AUUUUCGUCAAUGGGCGCAAGCCUGAACGAGCGAUGCCGCGUGAGUGAAGAAGGCCUUCGGGUCGUAAAGCUCUGUUGCGGGGGAAAAAAGGCAGCAUCAGGAAAUGGGUGCUGACUGAUGGUGCCCCGCCAGAAAGUCACGGCUAACUACGUGCCAGCCGCCGCGGUAAUACGUAGGUGGCGAGCGUUAUCCGGAAUGAUUGGGCGUAAAGGGUGCGCAGGCGGUCCUGCAAGUCUGGAGUGAAACGCAUGAGCUCAACUCAUGCAUGGCUUUGGAAACUGGAGGACUGGAGAGCAGGAGAGGGCGGUGGAACUCCAUGUGUAGCGGUAAAAUGCGUAGAUAUAUGGAAGAACACCAGUGGCGAAGGCGGCCGCCUGGCCUGUUGCUGACGCUGAGGCACGAAAGCGUGGGGAGCAAAUAGGA
RNAcentral lists this ribosomal RNA (424 nucleotides) under uncultured bacterium. RNAcentral describes it as "bacterial SSU rRNA". It matches the Rfam family "Bacterial small subunit ribosomal RNA", at positions 361 to 777 of the family's 1533-position model. The record is from RNAcentral.